GUGGGGCCAGAUAAGGGAACGAAAGCAGGCCUCCCAAGCCAGGAGCGGCAAACUACUGGGAUCCAUUUCCAUGCUGUGGACUCUUUGUGCUUUGCUCUUUGCAAUAAAUCUUGCUGCUGCUCACUUUUUGGGUCUGCACUACCUUUAUGAGCUGUAACACUCACCGCGAAGGUCUGCAGCUUUACACCUGAAGCCAGGGAGACCACGAACUCAUCAGGAGGAACGAACAACUCCAGACGCGCGGCCUUUAAGAGCUGUAACACUCAACGCGAAGGUCUGCAGCUUCAGUCUUGAAGUCAGCGAAACCGCAAACCCACCAGAAGGAAGAAACUCCGGACACAUCUGAACACCUGAAGGAACAAACCCCGGACACACCAUCUCUAAGAACUGUAACACUCACCGUGAGGGUCCGCGGCUUCAUUCUUGAAUCAGUGAGACCAAGAACCCACCAAUUCCGGACACAGAAGUGUUUGUGGAAUUUAAUUACAAAAACUGAAAGGAGAGAAAACAAGAUGGCAUUGUUGCUAACCUGUGAGAAGUGAUGGGGGCCCUCCAGCUGAAUGCCAGCCCCUGGUGGGCUCAUGGUAACAACAGAGAGGGGAGCCUUCUCUGGGAAGAGCUACCUCCUACUCCAGCCCAGCCGACCAGGCUGGGAUCCACAGAUCCACACUCCAGCAUGCUGAGCGGAGAAAGACUUAUUGUUGAGAAUGUCAGUCAACUGACAUUUUGCCUCCUACUCUCUCUAUCUGAGAGGGGAAUCUGCAUUUUCUAAGCCAGUUGGCAGCAUGCACCACAAACAGCAAUGCACUGCAGGCCCCCGGUAUAGACUCUCACCCUGUGAUAAGUGUGCCAGCUCAGUGGUGCAAAGGUUUUCAGAUACCCUCCCUUGGGCUAUCAUUCCAGUAGGCAGCUCCUCCUCCUCCUUCCCUCUCCCUCACAUACACUGAGCAUCAGGCUCUCCAAGCUCAGUUCUCAACAUAGUUACAAUAACCCAUCCUAGUCAGUGAUGCUUAAAAUUGAACCAUGGUUCAGGGGAGCAGUAGGCUCUCCCUGCGAGCACCCUAAUGUGUUAAACAGCCAUGCCAGGUAGCUGUCUCCUUUCUUGGAAUUAGCUACUUACAGAGACCCUCUGUCAAUGGAAGUUAGUUUUUAUGCAAGUCCUCUAACCCAGCAUUUGAAGGAUAAACAAACUUGCACUUACACAAUUUUC
This 1210-nucleotide long non-coding RNA is filed under the name Pan troglodytes (chimpanzee). RNAcentral's name for it is "long non-coding RNA NONPTRT001198". Lineage: Eukaryota; Metazoa; Chordata; Mammalia; Primates; Hominidae. The record is from RNAcentral.